This 86-nucleotide transfer RNA is filed under the name Desulfovibrio sp. Its description in RNAcentral is "tRNA-Leu". It matches the Rfam family "tRNA". From Rfam's summary of the family: Transfer RNA (tRNA) molecules are approximately 80 nucleotides in length. Their secondary structure includes four short double-helical elements and three loops (D, anti-codon, and T loops). Further hydrogen bonds mediate the characteristic L-shaped molecular structure. tRNAs have two regions of fundamental functional importance: the anti-codon, which is responsible for specific mRNA codon recognition, and the 3' end, to which the tRNAs corresponding amino acid is attached (by aminoacyl-tRNA synthetases). tRNAs cope with the degeneracy of the genetic code in two manners: having more than one tRNA (with a specific anti-codon) for a particular amino acid; and 'wobble' base-pairing, i.e. permitting non-standard base-pairing at the 3rd anti-codon position. Lineage: Bacteria; Pseudomonadati; Thermodesulfobacteriota; Desulfovibrionia; Desulfovibrionales; Desulfovibrionaceae. The record is from RNAcentral.
GCCCGGGUGGUGGAACAGGGAUACACAAGGGACUUAAAAUCCCUCGCUUUUUAAGCAUGCGGGUUCGAAUCCCGCUCCGGGCACCA